CCUACGGGAGGCAGCAGUGGGGAAUAUUGCACAAUGGGGGAAACCCUGAUGCAGCGACGCCGCGUGAGUGAAGAAGUAUUUCGGUAUGUAAAGCUCUAUCAGCAGGAACGAGACAAGACGGUACCUGACUAAGAAGCCCCGGCUAACUACGUGCCAGCAGCCGCGGUAAUACGUAGGGGGCAAGCGUUAUCCGGAAUCACUGGGUGUAAAGGGAGCGUAGACGGCUGAGCAAGCCUGAAGGGAAAGGCGGGGGCCCAACCCCCGGACUGCUUUGGGAACUGUACGGCUGGAGUGCAGGAGAGGUAAGUGGAAUUCCUAGUGUAGCGGUGAAAUGCGUAGAUAUUAGGAGGAACACCAGUGGCGAAGGCAGCCGGCCAAGCCAUGACUGACGCUGAUGCACGAAAGCGUGGGGAUCAAACAGGAUUAGAUACCCGAGUAGUC
This 441-nucleotide ribosomal RNA is filed under the name uncultured bacterium. RNAcentral describes it as "partial 16S ribosomal RNA". It matches the Rfam family "Bacterial small subunit ribosomal RNA", at positions 338 to 795 of the family's 1533-position model. The record is from RNAcentral.